This 467-nucleotide ribosomal RNA is filed under the name uncultured bacterium. RNAcentral's name for it is "partial 16S ribosomal RNA". It matches the Rfam family "Bacterial small subunit ribosomal RNA", at positions 28 to 506 of the family's 1533-position model. The record is from RNAcentral.
GACGAACGCUGGCGGCGUGCUUAACACAUGCAAGUCGAACGGAAAGGCCCUGCUUUUGUGGGGUGCUCGAGUGGCGAACGGGUGAGUAACACGUGAGUAACCUGCCCUUGACUUUGGGAUAACUUCAGGAAACUGGGGCUAAUACCGGAUAGGAGCUCCUGCUGCAUGGUGGGGGUUGGAAAGUUUCGGCGGUUGGGGAUGGACUCGCGGCUUAUCAGCUUGUUGGUGGGGUAGUGGCUUACCAAGGCUUUGACGGGUAGCUGGCCUGAGAGGGUGACCGGCCACAUUGGGACUGAGAGACGGCCCAGACGCCUACGGGAGGCAGCAGGGGGGAAUAUUGCACAAUGGGCGGAAGCCUGAUGCAGCAACGCCGCGUGCGGGAUGACGGCCUUCGGGUUGUAAACCGCUUUCGCCUGUGACGAAGCGUGAGUGACGGUAAUGGGGAAAGAAGCACCGGCUAACUACGU